GUGAGGAAUAUUGGUCAAUGGACGAGAGUCUGAACCAGCCAAGUCGCGUGAAGGAAGACGGUUCUAUGAAUUGUAAACUUCUUUUGUGCAGGAAUAAAGUGGGUUACGUGUAACCUUUUGUAUGUACUGUACGAAUAAGGAUCGGCUAACUCCGUGCCAGCAGCCGCGGUAAUACGGAGGAUCCGAGCGUUAUCCGGAUUUAUUGGGUUUAAAGGGUGCGUAGGUGGAUUGAUAAGUCAGCGGUGAAAGUUUGCAGCUUAACUGUAAAAUUGCCGUUGAUACUGUCGGUCUUGAGUGCAAAUGAGGUAGGCGGAAUGUGUUGUGUAGCGGUGAAAUGCUUAGAUAUAACACAGAACUCCGAUUGCGAAGGCAGCUUACUGGGAUGCAACUGACACUGAUGCACGAAAGCGUGGGUAUCAAACAGGAUUAGAAACCCCGGUAGUCC
This 445-nucleotide ribosomal RNA is filed under the name uncultured bacterium. Its description in RNAcentral is "partial 16S ribosomal RNA". It matches the Rfam family "Bacterial small subunit ribosomal RNA", at positions 354 to 796 of the family's 1533-position model. The record is from RNAcentral.